CACUCAUGUUUUUCUUCAUAGCGUAUAAAUCUUUCGCCUUUUACUAAAGACUUCCGUGGGGAGGAACACAAUGAGUAUAAGCUAAUUUUUUGAUGCCCUGCUGAACUGUGGGGCU
RNAcentral lists this small nuclear RNA (115 nucleotides) under Sinocyclocheilus anshuiensis. RNAcentral's name for it is "U5 spliceosomal RNA (ENSSANG00000010991.1)". It matches the Rfam family "U5 spliceosomal RNA". Rfam says of the family: U5 RNA is a component of both types of known spliceosome. The precise function of this molecule is unknown, though it is known that the 5' loop is required for splice site selection and p220 binding, and that both the 3' stem-loop and the Sm site are important for Sm protein binding and cap methylation. Lineage: Eukaryota; Metazoa; Chordata; Actinopteri; Cypriniformes; Cyprinidae. The record is from RNAcentral.